This 7818-nucleotide long non-coding RNA is filed under the name Solanum lycopersicum (tomato). Its description in RNAcentral is "long non-coding RNA (SLYC_LNC000228)". The record is from RNAcentral. Lineage: Eukaryota; Viridiplantae; Streptophyta; Magnoliopsida; Solanales; Solanaceae.
UCAAUUUUAAGUAAACAUGAAUUGCUUGUAAAAAUUCAUGUUUUUUUCUUCUUAAGGUCACAUAUGCAUAGUAAUCCUAUCUUAUUAGAUGAAGCAAUAUAAACAUAGUAUGUAAUUAGAUGUUCCUUACGAUAAAAACGACAAUUAUCUAUCUGAAUCUACUACCUAUUCGAAUAAGAAAUUUUAGAAUACGUCUGGUCACUACCAGUCAACGGACGAGGUCCCUUGACACAGCUCGAAGUUAGAACAAAAAGUAAGUAACAACAGAAAACAACACAAGCAGUUUACGUGGAAACCUCCUUGCUCAAGGGAGUAAAACCACGACCUGUGACACAGGAUUUUCAACCGUUUUCACUAAUCUUUAGAAGCAAAGUCAAACCCGAUUACAACAACAUGAGAAAAAGUUAUUAAUCUCACAACCAAGAAAUAAUUCUAUUGCUUGAAGAGACUUAGCAGAUUUCACUUUGCCCACUAAGAUAUCACGUCUAGACAACUUAGGAUUCAACUAACCAACACGUAGGUUGCCGUCUAAAUCACCACGCUCCGAAUGACUUAGGAUUUUUGAAAAGCAACACAGUAGGCUACCCACUAAAUAAGUUUGACUCAACUUAUUUAGGAUUUUCACCCUACACAGCUUUCUGAUUUCUUUAAAGAUGGAGGAACAUUUUUACAAUUUACGUGCAGAGGAAAUAAUCCAAAGAAAACUAUGCUUCAAGCUCUUUCAUAUUGGAGUUGAUCUUUAGGAUGCUUCUUCACUCCUUUUGUAAGCCUUUGCAAGAGUUCUUGAUAUUCCUUUUCAUGUUGCAAAAACUAAUUGUGAGUAUAUGGAUAUUUUGUUUCUGUAGAAAGGUAACAAAACAUCAGACGAUCCCAUUGGUUGAGGUUUCUAGCGCGUCUACCACUUCUGCCACUGUUGGAGACUGUGCACCAACUUUUUGUAGUUUCUCCAGGUGGCAGUGAAACAUAUAUUGAGCCAUGAACCAGUUUCCUUAUAAGGUCCCUAAGUUUGUCAAAUCAUCAAAACUACAAAUAAAAUUUUCCCCCUUUUUGAUGAUGACAAACAGUACACCAGUGCCUACAUGUUCUUUCAUGUUUCCUUCCCCCUGUCGAUAUACCAGUACACCAGUACCUAUCUGUUUUUCCAUGUUUUCUUUCCCCUGUCGAUAAAGAACUAAAAGUUGCAUGUACAUUUGCACAGUGAAUCAGUUCUGACUCUGGAUUUGUUAAAUCAUCAAAACUACAAAUAAUAUUUUCCCCCUUUUUGAUGAUGACAAACCAUACACCAAUGCUGGCAUUUCUUUCCCCUGUCAAGUGGACACACACCUCAGUUUCCUACACCAUGGAAUAGGUACCUUUACAAGGUCCUUGAGUUACACUGGUACCUGCACUUGAGUUAUACUUAUGCCUGCAUGUUUAUUUUUCCUUGUCGCUUUUUCUUUCCUCCUCCCUUGUACUUCUUACAAACUUAAGCAUCAUCUGAACACCCCCAAUUUAUUCCCCCUUUUUACAUCAUAAAAAAGUAGUGAGUAGACCAACCAAAGAAGUAUGAUUGAUAAGUAAGAUCACAGUCAAGGAUAACACAAACAUAAUUAAUAAACCAAUAAGCAAUAGAAUUUAGCCACAACAAAACAAGAUUCCAUUUCAUGAGCAUAAAAAAAUCACCAUUCAAUACAUUGAAGUUAAACUAAAAAUUGAGAACCCCGAACACUAUCCACAAUAAAAAAAUUGACACAUGAAAGACAAUGAGGAGGAAGGUAGAGGAGAGAGGGAGUUGAUACCAAGGGUUAGUCUAGAGUUUGUUGCAUCGUUAUCUUUAAUCAUCUUCUCUUGAAGAGCAGCAAAAUUUGCAGGAAGCUCAUCAGUCUGCUUUUGUAGCUUCUGGACAACCUCGGUACCAGGUCCCUCUAUUUGCUCUUUUAGCAGGUCUUCUUUUAAUAGAGCAAUUUCAGCUUCAUUGUUCCUCACUAGCACUGUUAUCACAUCCAAUUCAUGUUUCAAUUGGUCCUGCUCCUUGAUCAACUGAGAACUUUACUCAGUGGGUUUUCCUUCCUUUCAAUACACUCACAUGAUGAAUAGCUCAGUUGUAGAAGCCACAAUUUUUUAAUUUUUUUUCAUAAUAACCUUUUUUCUCGCAGAAGUCUUAAAUUUCUUUUACUUUUACCCUUACUUUCUUAGAUGAAGUGUCCCUUGUAUCAACAGAAGUGGCUUUAAAAAAGGAAAAAAAACAACUAGAUCUAUCUUAUUUAGAGAGUCUAGGAUUUUCUUUGAAGAAGAAGGGAAUUGAGACUUGAUUGUUUGAAAGAAAAUACUGAAAUGAUAGAGAAAGAUAGCGAUAUUGAGAGUGUUUUGAUGUUAGACUUAGAGAUAAAAGUUGGAAUGUAAGAAGAUGGAGUGUAGAAAAGGCACUAUCAAAAAAACUUAAAAUAGUGUGUCAGGUCCCUUGAUAUAUGCAUCACUUGGAUUAGAGGCGAUGGGACAACGGUCAGAAGGAUCGAUGACUGACAUGUGACAAUCUGGAUGGUUCUCAUUUGACAGCGUAAAACAAAUGCAAAGAGUGCUAACCUUAGGAAGGACCAGGUCAUCAAUUGCACAUGAAAUACAAUUCCUGAAUGGUACUGGCCAUUCUCUGCUCCUGUGCUUUCCAUAGGCAUAUACGUGUAUUCAGGUAGAAAGACGAUCUUACUUAAACAAUGCAUUAAAAGUUUUGUAGAUACCUUCCCUCCAGAUCUUAGCCAAAAUAAAGAAUUAGAGGCUUCUUGAUGAGAUUAGGUUAGUGCAUGUUCAUUAUCCCUAACUUCAGCUUCUUGGUCUCAAAUCGAUCCUCAGUUAGAGCUUUAGUAAAGAUGUAUGCAAUCAAAUCUUCCGUCAUGCAGUAUCUCGUGAUGAUGUUCCCCUUCUCAACAUUAUAUCUAAAAAAGUCAUGCCUGACAUAAAUGUGAUUGGUUAUUUUGUGUUGGACUGAUUCUUUCCCAUGUUAACUGCACUAGCAUUAUCACACAUGAGAGGAAUGGUGUUGACGUGGACUCCAAAAUCCUCAAGCUAUUGUUUUAUUCAAAGAAGUUGGCACAUCUGGAAGCAGCAGCUACACACUGAGCCUCAACUUCUGAGAGAGUCACUUAAUGAGUGAGGAUCCAAGGAAAUGUGUCAUUACAAAAGUGCUCUUUCUAUCAAGUUGAUAUCCUCAUGAUUCUCUUAGCUGCCUUUAGAUGAGAUUCUCUGGGACAUUCUUGGAACCGUGCACACAUUUCCAUGCUGAAUACCAUGUCCGAUCUGCGUGCAUAUGAAACUUCUUUAGCAGCUCCUUUCUAUGCUUCCUUUGAUAGAAUAAGGUUCCACUGGAGGUUUGCUUAAUAUGCAGACCUAUGAUGAAGUUCAGCUCUCCCAUCAUACUCAUCUCAAAUUUGUUUCCUAUGAGAGUAUCAAAUUCUUCAUACAUAUGUUCAGAAGUUUCUCCAAAAAUGAUAUCAUCCACAUACACCUGAAUGAUAAGAAAUUCUUGAUCUCUUUUUAUAAAACAUAAUGUAUUGUCAAUUUUCCCCCUAUUUAAGCUAUUCAUUAGUAAAUACUUUGACAGCCUUUCAUACCAAGCUCUAGGUGCCUGAUUCGAACCAUACACAUCUUUGUUGAGUUUGAACACAUGAUUUGGAAAAUUUGUAUCCUCAACUCCAAGUGGAUGUUUAACAUAUACUGCUUCCUUCAUAUCACCAUUCAAAUAGGCACUUUUAAUAUCCAUCUGGUACUGUUUUAACCCAAUGAAUGUUGCAAAUACUAUGAUGAUUCUGAUAGCCUAUAUUUUCAUCCAGCUUGUUUUUGAACACCUACCUGGUCCCAAUACUUGUUCUGUCAGCAAGUCUUGGGACCAGGUACCGCACAUUGCUUCGCUCAAAUUGAUACAAUACAUCUUGCACGGAGAUUACUCAGUCAACAUCCAUCAGAGCUUCUUUCAAAUUUAUAGGCUUAAUAGUAAGAUAAAUACUAAGAAUGCAAUCAGAUUCCUUGUUUUUGACCUUGUUUGUAUCCUAGAAUUUAGAGGAGAGAUGAUAUUUUCAAGGGGGUGAGAUGAACUAUGCUUCAAUCCAUAUCUAGAUCCCAGAGACUGUUGUUGAUCCAUCUGUUCUUCUUCAUCUUCAGAAUCAUCAUUUUUAGUGGGAGUAUCAGAUUCCUCUUGUCUUGCAUCAUUAGAAAGACCAGGUCCCUUAGUAGGUUGGUCGUCCUCUUCCACCUCCUCAGAUGGACUAAGAUCGGCAACAUCAGAGUCAAGAUUCACCUCAACUUCAUUCCUACUUACUACAUGGUUAUGGAAUUUAAAUAGCUCCAGCAAAUAAUCAUCAUCAUUCAUAUCAACUAUCUCAGACUUUGACUUUACAAACAUAGUCCUCAUAAUCUUGAGUAGUCAUCCACAACCACUAAAAUGUACUUUUUCUCGCUUAAGCUUUGGAUCUUCACCGGUUCACACAAGUCCAUAUGUAUUAACUCAAAAACCCUUGAAUAAUUACUUUCUUCUUUGAUUUUAAUGAAAAACGGAUUUGUUUCCCUUUGACACAUGCAUCACACACUUUACUGUCAUUGAAUUUCAUCUUUGGCAGACCCCGGACCAGGUCCCUAUAAACCAAUUUGUUAAGUAGAGAAGAGCUAUUAUGACCUAGUCUCAUAUGGCAGAAGUUAGUACUUUCACUUUGAGCACUUAGGCAUGUCAAAUCAUCUCCAUGAGUUAUUUCUUAUUCUGUCGCAUAUAUGUUUUUCCUUCUUCUGGCAGUCAAAAUCGCCCUCUUUUUGCAAUUGCCAAAAAUUGACACCUCCUACUUGAAGUGCCAUGAGUGAAAGGAUGUUUUUUGUAUUUCCAGUUAUGUGAUUUGAGUCGACACGAUCCAUGUACCAACACGUGCUGCUACUUCCUUCACUCGCCUGCAAUAACCUUAGUUGUUAGAUUUGGGAACCCACUUCGAUCGGAGUUCCCAAUAAGCUGACAAAGGUGUAAUGAGAGUGUUUUUUCCCAGUGUGGGAACUUUGUCUUCUUCAAGAUUAAGACACUAUGAACUAGAGAAGAUCCUCUAUUUCUAGCUGUUUCUUUUCUAGGCUUUUUUCCAGUAGGACCAGGUCCCCUUAGCCAAGUCCUUUUCUGCUUAUAAUAGGCAGAGGAAUUUUUUUGUGAAGCUUUCUAGGUAGGACAAUCUCCUUGUAGAUGGCUGUUUCGACCACAGUGAAGACACAGUAAAUUGUCUGAGACAAACACAUAUUUGUUGUGGGGGUUGUAAAGAGGAGUAAUGUUCAAACUUCCUAACCCCCUUUUGUUAUAGUUGAUUUUAUUUGUAACAAUAUAUAGAAGUUCGGUUCAGCUGGUCCAUUUUAAGGAUACUUGUAGUUCCUCCUUAAGACGGACCAGGUCCCUCAUCAUCUGAUAAUUUCCUUCCAGGGCGAAGGCAAGUCUAGUUUCUGUUGUGUUUAAGUUGCUUUCUAACUCUGCCUACACAUUAGUAGCUUCCCCUUCCUUUAACUAGAUUUCUCAAUCAUCAAAUCCAGGUUCUCCUUAAGUUCUAGUUUUUCAUAUUCAAUAACCGUCACUUGUUCCUCAAGAACAGACAUCUGAACUACCAUUACUUCCUUUUCUUCAUUUAGACUCUCAAGACUAUUGUUUAUAGAGUCCCUUUCAAUAGUUAACUCUAUAAAAAAAAGUCAAUCAAGACAUUUGCUAACCUUCUUAACCGUUUAAUAGAGUACAUACUCAAGUUUUGCUUAAAAGAAAGAAGAGUUACCUUAUAUUCAUCAUCAUCCUCAUCGUAUUUAGCCACAAGAUAAAACAUCCCAUUGAAUACGUUAGCCUCGUCUUGAAUCACUAGCAUUGAUUAAUCUUUAGGACAAUUUGAAUCUCCUGACUUGAUUGAAGAGUCUCCCACUGCAGCAAGAUCUUUAUUCACUAUAUAGUCAGCUGCAAUUUUUCUCGCACUUUUGUCUGGUACCAGGUCCCUUCAUUUGUACUUUUCACCUCCUGGCCUUUGAUACUUCUUGUUUUUAGCUUUGAGCAUAGGACAAUCCCUUAUAAAGUGCCCAGACUUUCCACAUUUGUGACAAGAGUCACUAGCUGUUACAGCUCGAGAAGGGUUCCCUCCUUUUCUAAACCUUUUAUUUUUUCUUAUGAUCUUCUGAAAUUUCUUGGGAAUAUAGUCCAUAUCAUCUUCUUCACUACACACUUCCCCAGGAGUAAAUUUGAGUACUACAGACUUGUCUUUCUUGGCCUCCUUCUUUGAGAGCUCUUGACUUCUAUUCAUUUCAUGUGUCUUGAGAUUUCCAAAAAGAUCAUCCAUCCUCGGAACUUUUAGAUCAUUGGCUUCAGUGAUAGCAUCUACUUUGUUUUCUUAUGACUUAGGAAGAAUUUGAAGAACUUUUCUAACUUGCUUACUAGUACUGAAUGGCUCUCCAAUACAUCGUAGCUCAUUGGUUAUGGAGGAAAGUUUAGUAUACAUGUCAUGAAUAGUUUUCCCUUCAUUCCUUCUGAAAUUUUCAUAUUGAGAAAUGAGCAUAUCCCCCUUUGGUUCCUUCACCUUCUCAGUACCUUCAUGAGCAGUCCUGAGACAAUUCCAGAUCUCUUUUGCUAAUUCAUAGGUAGAAACACAAUUAUAUUCUUCAGCACUUAUACCACAAUCCAACAUCUUCUUAGCCUUGUAGCCUUUAUCAAUGUUCUUUUUAUCCGCUUCGCUGUAUUGUUUACCAAUUUUUUGAACAAUUCUCGUUGUCUAACCGUCCUUUACUUCAUAGGUUGGCAUAAAAGUCCCAUCCAAUACCAUGUCCCAUAAUUCACUAUCCUUAUCUAUAAGAUAUUCAUGCAUUCUUGUUUUCCACCAACUAUAGAAAUGGCCGUUGAAACAUGGCGGUCGAGUUGAGGAUAGCCCUUCUUCUAGGUUAAGUGGAGAAGCCAUUCUGAUACAUGAACCAUUCUCUUCGUGUCAACCAGCUAGAGAGUACUUGCUUUGAUACCACUUAUUAUAAUACAUGCAUCCACUUACCAGUCAAUUGACCAGGUUCCUCGACACAACGCAAAGUAUGAACAAAGAGUAAGUAACAAUAGAAAACAGCACAAGUAGUUUACGUGGAAACCUCCUUGCUCAAGGGAGUAAAACCACGACCUGUCACAAAGGAUUUUCAAUCGUUUUCACUCUUCUUCACAAGCAAAAGUGAAACUCGAUUACAACAACUUGAGAAAAAACUAUUAAUAUCACAACCAAGCAAUAACUCUAUUGGUUAAAGAGCUUAAGCAGAUUUCACUCUGCCUACUAAGCUAUAACCUCUAGACAACUUAGGUUUCAACUAAGCAACACCCAGGUUGCCCACUAAAUCACCACGCUCCGAAUGACUUAGGAUUUUUGCUAAGAAAUGCACAAUGCUGCCCACUAAAUCAGUUGGACUCAAUUGAUUUAGGAUUUUCACCUCAAAUAUCUAUAUGAUCCCUUUAUAAUUGGAGGAAGAGAUUUACAAUUUAUGUGCAAAAGAAAUAAUCUUAAGAUAACUAAGCUUCAAGCUCUUUCAGAUUUGAGUUGAUCUUGAGGAUGCUUUUUCACUCCUUUUGUAAGCCUUUGCAAGAGUUCUUGAGAUGCCUUUUCAAGUUGCAAAAACUAAUUGUUAGUAUAUGGAUGUUUUGUUUUUGUAGAAAGGUCACAAAACCUAAAACAAUCCCAUUGGAUGAGGUCUCUGGCGUGUCUGCCACUUCUGGCACUGUUGGAGACUGUACACCAAUUUUUCAUAAUUUCUCCAGCUGGCAGUGAAAAAUAUAUUGAGCCAAGAACCAGGUUCCUUCAUAACGUCCCUAAGUUUGUCAAAUCAUCA